CAAUAGCGUAUAUUAAAGUUGUUGCAGUUAGAACGCUCGUAGUCGGAUUUCGGGGCGGGCCGACCGGUCUGCCGAUGGGUACGCACUGGUCGGCGCGUCCUUCCUUCCGGAGACCGUCCCUACUCUUAACUGAGCGGGGGCGGGAGACGGAACGUUUACUUUGAAAAAUCAGAGUGUUUCAAGCAGGCAGUGCGCUCUUGCAUGGAUUAGCAUGGGAUAAUGAAAUAGGACUUUGGUGCUAUUUUGUUGGUUUCGAACACCGAAGUAAUGAUUAAAAGGGACAGUCAGGGGCACUCGUAUUCCGCCGAGAGAGGUGAAAUUCUCAGACCAGCGGAAGACGAACCACUGCGAAAGCAUUUGCCAGGGAUGUUUUCACUGAUCAAGAACGAAAGUUAGGGGAUCGAAGAUGAUUAGAUACCGU
Molecule: ribosomal RNA, 421 nt
Filed under: uncultured eukaryote
Lineage: Eukaryota
Description: SSU rRNA
Rfam family: Eukaryotic small subunit ribosomal RNA
Source: RNAcentral